Molecule: ribosomal RNA, 301 nt
Filed under: uncultured bacterium
Lineage: Bacteria
Description: partial 16S ribosomal RNA
Rfam family: Archaeal small subunit ribosomal RNA
Source: RNAcentral
CAGUCGCCGCGGGAACACCAGCACCUCGAGUGGUCAGGAGGUUUAUUGGGCCUAAAGCAUCCGUAGCCGGUUGCAUAAGUUUUCGGUUAAAUCUAUGCGCUUAACGUAUAGGCCGCCGAAAAUACUGUGCAGCUAGGGAGUGGGAGAGGUACACGGUACUCGAUAGGAAGGGGUAAAAUCCUUUGAUCUAUUGAUGACCACCUGUGGCGAAGGCGGUGUACCAGAACACGUUCGACGGUGAGGGAUGAAAGCUGGGGGAGCAAACCGGAUUAGAUACCCGGGUAGUCCCUGUCUCUUAUAC